CCUACGGGAGGCUGCAGUGGGGAAUAUUGCACAAUGGGGGAAACCCUGAUGCAGCGACGCCGCGUGAGUGAAGAAGUAUUUCGGUAUGUAAAGCUCUAUCAGCAGGGAAGAAAAUGACGGUACCUGAUUAAGAAGCCCCGGCUAACUACGUGCCAGCAGCCGCGGUAAUACGUAGGGGGCAAGCGUUAUCCGGAUUUACUGGGUGUAAAGGGAGCGUAGACGGCAGCACAAGUCUGGAGUGAAAUGCCGGGGCUUAACCCCGGAACUGCUUUGGAAACUGUGCAGCUAGAGUGCAGGAGAGGUAAGUGGAAUGCGUAGUGUAGCGGUGAAAUGCGUAGAUAUUAGGAAGAACACCAGUGGCGAAGGCGGCUUACUGGACUGUAACUGACGUUGAGGCUCGAAAGCGUGGGGAGCGAACAGGAUUAGAUACCCCUGUAGUC
Molecule: ribosomal RNA, 440 nt
Filed under: uncultured bacterium
Lineage: Bacteria
Description: partial 16S ribosomal RNA
Rfam family: Bacterial small subunit ribosomal RNA
Source: RNAcentral